This is a long non-coding RNA of Cuculus canorus (common cuckoo), 965 nucleotides long. RefSeq lists it as uncharacterized. The transcript has 3 exons. NCBI's taxonomy places the organism in Eukaryota, Metazoa, Chordata, Aves, Cuculiformes, Cuculidae. The record is from RefSeq and is a predicted model, not a curated record.
UAGUGCUAUGUUCACCUAUAAUAUAAAAUAGGUUGUCCUGAGUGAGGCACAAUCCUCACUGUAAGAUAACUGAAAGGAAGGAAAUAAGAUAUUUUUGUUUCUAAAAGAUUACUGCUUCGUACUGGUUGCACGAAAGUCUCUACCCCAGGUGCAGAGCCAGGACAGCUAACUGAAAUUGGCCAAUGCAAUGGUCCGUACCAUAACAUCAUCAUGCUCAACAUAAAAGUGAGAAUUUGGUUGGGAGGGCAGUAUGGCAAUCCAGGUUUUGCAUUCAGUGUUCUGUCCUCACUGCUGUCUCUGCACUUGCUGUGAUUUCUGUGCUCACUGUCAUCACCGUGCUUGCUGAAAUGGCUGCUCGGGAUGGGUUAAUCAUGCAAAAGGUAACAGUCUGCUGAAGAGAGGUCUUGGAAUAGGAGCCCCAGCUACAGUUCCUUUCCACAAAGUUAAUUGUAAAAUGCAUUUAAAACUAUUCUGCCUCCAAGUUUUUCUUCUUGCAGAAAAGACUUACUAUGCUACUAAUUUCACGGGUAUUGCGAAGAAAAGAAGUGUGAAGUAUUAUUCCUGGAAGGAACAGACCCAUAAAAAUCUAUUUAUCAUGAGUGCUCUCUCUUUAUCAGUGCCACUAUCACAACUUCUUUUAAAUAUAUGUAUAGGAAGAGGCAGUUCUAUCUCUUGAGUCAGCUGGGAUUUCCAUGUAACACAAUUAUGGUGUGAAGUAAAGCUGCACCGUAAGUCCAGUCAAGUGGCCCUACCUGUCAGACAAGGAACUAUGAAGUUACUUUUUCACUGAAAUGUUAAUCACAUCAGUUAGUAUCUAGUGUAUGUGCAUUGUAUCAUUCCAAGGACGAUCAUCUUACCAAGUGAGGUGGGGCAAGCUUCACCCUGGUGCAUGGAGACAACAUUUAGUGCAUUGACCUGAUGAAAGGAAGAUGUGUGCAGUUAAAAGUGCAAAUUGUUGAAAGACU